AGGAUGCCCCGGCUAACUAGGUGCCAGCAGCCGCGGUAAUACGUAGGGGGCAAGCGUUAUCCGGAAUUACUGGGCGUAAAGGGUGCGUAGGUGGUCUGUCAAGUCAGAGGUCAAAGGCCACGGCUCAACCGUUGUAAGCCCUUGAAACUGGAGGACUUGAGUUCAGGAGAGGAAAGCGGAAUUCCUAGUGUAGCGGUGAAAUGCGUAGAUAUUAGGAGGAACACCAGUGGCGAAGGCGGCUUUCUGGACUGAUACUGACACUGAGGCACGAAAGCGUGGGGAGCAAACAGGAUUAGAUACCCUGGUAGUCCACGCCGUAAACGAUGAGUACUAGGUGUUGGCCCU
RNAcentral lists this ribosomal RNA (345 nucleotides) under uncultured bacterium. RNAcentral describes it as "bacterial SSU rRNA". It matches the Rfam family "Bacterial small subunit ribosomal RNA", at positions 485 to 830 of the family's 1533-position model. The record is from RNAcentral.